UACGUAGGGUGCGAGCGUUAAUCGGAAUUACUGGGCUUAAAGGGUGCGCAGGCGGUUCUUCAAGUCAGGCGUGAAAGCCCCGGGCUUAACCUGGGAAUGGCGCUUGAAACUACAGGACUGGAGUAUGGCAGAGGGAGGUGGAAUUCCACGUGUAGCGGUGAAAUGCGUAGAGAUGUGGAGGAACACCGAUGGCGAAGGCAGCCUCCUGGGCCAAUACUGACGCUCAUGCACGAAAGCGUGGGGAGCAAACAGG
Molecule: ribosomal RNA, 253 nt
Filed under: uncultured bacterium
Lineage: Bacteria
Description: partial 16S ribosomal RNA
Rfam family: Bacterial small subunit ribosomal RNA
Source: RNAcentral